This is a long non-coding RNA of Drosophila biarmipes, 838 nucleotides long. RefSeq lists it as uncharacterized. The transcript is spliced from 2 exons. The record is from RefSeq and is a predicted model, not a curated record. NCBI's taxonomy places the organism in Eukaryota, Metazoa, Arthropoda, Insecta, Diptera, Drosophilidae.
GCCCAACCACCCAGCCAUCCUUUAGCUGUCAAUUACAUCAAAAUUGUGAAUUUCUCUCGUUAUGCAUUUGACAUUUUCGACUCAAUAUAAAACGGAAAUAGCUCACAAACACCUGCACGCAGUGGCUACAUAUUCAUUCGGCUUGUACAUAUAAACCAUAUACAAUUGAAUCUGUCAAACGGCGCUCUGUACACCUUUCGCCCGUAAUAAAUAAAUAAUCAAUGGAUUUGUGUGCCCAUUUCGAAGCAGUGGCAACCUCGCAACAUGCGACGUAUACGUAAUAUGCUGGCCAAUUUGUUUGCCAUUCAAAGGAUAAUUUCACUUUGUUCUGAUUUAUAUAACGGAAGUGACGAAGAAAGAAUGGAAAUUGGCAUUCUUAGUAUCGAAUCGAAUUGAAUUAAAUUGAAAUGAAUUGAAUUGAAUUGAGUGGCAGGUGAGCGAUAAGCCUUUAACAAGCAUUCAUCACACAAUGUGCAGGGAUGUUCUGCUCCACGGGAAUUCAUGUAUAAUUCACAAUGAGAUUGGAAUUAAUUUGAGUUCGCUUACUUCGCCAGAAGGCUAAGACUGAGCUUUGACUUGCGCUAAUAAAAAAACUACUGCACUCAAAGCCAUUCAAGUUUGAGCGACAAAACUUUUGCCAAAACUUCGUGCUGAGGAAAAUAGAAAAAUCAACACCAGAAAUAAAAAUGCUAAGUAAACAUGGAAAUACCAGGCAAUCCCCCUGUGAAUAAAUUGGCAAAUAGAAAAUUGAAAGAGAAACACGGGAAACAAGUUGGAAAUAAGUGCAAGCAAAUUGGAAAUAAGAAGGUUUUAAUUAAAAUGAAAUAUUUCAAAAAUA